Molecule: Y RNA, 113 nt
Filed under: Saimiri boliviensis boliviensis (Bolivian squirrel monkey)
Lineage: Eukaryota; Metazoa; Chordata; Mammalia; Primates; Cebidae
Description: Y RNA (ENSSBOG00000000342.1)
Rfam family: Y RNA
About the family: Y RNAs are components of the Ro ribonucleoprotein particle (Ro RNP), in association with Ro60 and La proteins. The Y RNAs and Ro60 and La proteins are well conserved, but the function of the Ro RNP is not known. In humans the RNA component can be one of four small RNAs -- hY1, hY3, hY4 and hY5.
Source: Rfam by way of RNAcentral
GACUGGACCCAAGGUAGUGAGUUACCUCGAUUGAUGGUUCACAGUCAGUUACAGAUCGAACCCUUUGUUCUACCCUUUUCUCCCUCCUCACUACUGCACUUGACUAGUCUUAA